This 763-nucleotide ribosomal RNA is filed under the name uncultured Streptococcus sp. Its description in RNAcentral is "bacterial SSU rRNA". It matches the Rfam family "Bacterial small subunit ribosomal RNA", at positions 28 to 776 of the family's 1533-position model. The record is from RNAcentral. Lineage: Bacteria; Bacillati; Bacillota; Bacilli; Lactobacillales; Streptococcaceae.
GACGAACGCUGGCGGCGUGCCUAAUACAUGCAAGUAGAACGCUGAAGGAGGAGCUUGCUUCUCAGGAUGAGUUGCGAACGGGUGAGUAACGCGUAGGUAACCUGCCUGGUAGCGGGGGAUAACUAUUGGAAACGAUAGCUAAUACCGCAUAACAGUAGAUAUUGCAUGAUAUCUGCUUGAAAGGUGCAAAUGCAUCACUACCAGAUGGACCUGCGUUGUAUUAGCUAGUUGGUGGGGUAACGGCUCACCAAGGCGACGAUACAUAGCCGACCUGAGAGGGUGAUCGGCCACACUGGGACUGAGACACGGCCCAGACUCCUACGGGAGGCAGCAGUAGGGAAUCUUCGGCAAUGGACGGAAGUCUGACCGAGCAACGCCGCGUGAGUGAAGAAGGUUUUCGGAUCGUAAAGCUCUGUUGUAAGAGAAGAACGAGUGUGAGAGUGGAAAGUUCACACUGUGACGGUAUCUUACCAGAAAGGGACGGCUAACUACGUGCCAGCAGCCGCGGUAAUACGUAGGUCCCGAGCGUUGUCCGGAUUUAUUGGGCGUAAAGCGAGCGCAGGCGGUUAGAUAAGUCUGAAGUUAAAGGCUGUGGCUUAACCAUAGUACGCUUUGGAAACUGUUUAACUUGAGUGCAAGAGGGGAGAGUGGAAUUCCAUGUGUAGCGGUGAAAUGCGUAGAUAUAUGGAGGAACACCGGUGGCGAAAGCGGCUCUCUGGCUUGUAACUGACGCUGAGGCUCGAAAGCGUGGGGAGCAAACAGG